CCCACAUAACCUAUUCUUUUAACAUUAGUUAAAUGCUCCAAAUUAAGCAUGACUGAAGCCAAAAGGUUAGGUUGAUACAAAUACAUGAAGGCGGUUCUGCAAUCCUCAUGUACAACAUAACUACAUAAGAGUAGUGUCAACUGCUUUCUUUAAAGUUAAAGAAGAGAAGGUACUCAAAUCCGUAAAGAUCAAUAACAUGUAUUGCAUUCCAAAGAAUUCUAAUACGCUUCCAUUCCCAAUUUCACUAUUUUGCUUAACAAUGGGCAAUAAAAGUACCCUAAACAAUGGUUUACCCCAAUUUUUGUGAGACGGGACUUAGUCUUCCUAUUUCUAUACAAGCUACUAACAGGGAUUUCCCCAUGUAAAUAGAUUUUUGGAGUGACUUGGGAAAGAGCUGUCAUACUCUAAUUGUAAUGAGGUAAGGAAAAAAGAAAAAGUCGAGGAAAGAAAAAGCAACUUUCAAUGUUGGUAUGUUGCCUGUUUAUCAAGAUGCUUCUGGUCAGAUUCUAAUCUGAAUGUGUUGAAGAAGACACAUUAUUUGUCAAUUCAGCUAGCUCCUUCUCCUGCUGCUUUUUCAAAUACUCCUGUGCAGUUGCAGUCACAAUCUUGCAAAAGAAGUUCAAAAGCAUGAGCCAAACAAUGGUAUUCCACAAUGCAGCAAAUGAGAAAUCCCAUUUUUUCACCUUGUUAUUUGAAGGCAGAGGUGGCGCAGGUGACAUAUAUUUUUCUUUAAUUGAAUGCAGUUUGCCUAUAAGUUUGGGCAGGACAGAAUCCAAGCCAGGUACAAAGCUGAGCACCCAGAUCAACUCAUUCUCUAUCCAGUCAAGUAGUUGAUUAUUACAGACAGAGAUGAUAAAAACUGUCUGUAUAUGAGUUUUCACAAGUGCCUUCCCAAUCAAAGUUGCAAGAAAAAACUUCCAAAAUGAAAUCCCAAAUUGUCCACACAUAAUGCCAGCAAGGUCGAAUAGGGGAUUUGGCACCUAAAAGAUAUUGUAGUUCAUCAGCGACUUGCACAUUUAUAAACAAUGAAAACAACACAAACAGAUGAUAAAUCAAGGUCAACUUUUAAUCUAACAAAUCCUGUAUCACAAUGCAGAGUAAUAAUGCUUUUGAAGUGGGCAUAUGAGCAGGCAAUAACAAGAAAUCACUCACAGGAAAAACCAGUUGUUUUAAUUUUCUAGAUAACUUGUACUGGAAAAUAUGGAUGGCAGGUCAAACUAACCGAAGCAAGUACUAAAAUUGUGAAGAAGUUCAAAUGUUGAGAAUGAGACAGAAGCCAGCAUUUGAUUGUAUGGAGGUGAGUAGCUAUGAUUCCAUUAUCUUCCGAUGAGGAAGCAUUCAAUUCUUCCAUGGCAUCAAAUUUACUACCUGAUAAACGCGCUGCACAAAGUGAAUGUAUUAAUACACAAUAAAACUCAUUCAGUGAUGUCAAUCUAUCAUGAUAUAUAGAUUCUGCUUUUACCGAACUUCGAAAUUGAAAAGUAAAAUGGAGGAAACAGGAAGAAGCUUCCAUCUUAUAUAAUUUACAAACAGAAAAGCACUCACUCAAGCAAAAAUGAACCAUAGUUUGUAUCCACCAAUAACCAAGCACAUAAGCAAAAAUGGAAAAGUAUCUGUAGUAUGUUUCAUUUGUAUCAAAUUCCACCCACUUCAACUUCAGAUCAACAAAAGUGGGAAAGUGACAUAAUCAUGAUAUGACAACAUGCAUUCUUAAACCAACCUUCAUUCGAUAAUAUGAGAUCAGCACAUCCCAUUUUACAUAGCUUCAGCCUUCAGGGACACAUGAAGCAUUUGAAAUAGAAACUCAUUCUUUGUUGGCAAGGUCUGUUUGACAUGUGCUAGUGCCAUAGUAGACAUGAGAAGAUACAACUAUACUCACGCAAACUUCUUGACAGAUACUGCAUUCAUUCUCAAGUAACUUGCCAUUUAAAGAUACAAGGACACAUCAAGAAAAUGCCUAACAUAAAUUCAUUUUCAGGAAAAUAGAUUUCAGAAUAAUAACCAAUUACAUUUUGGUUUUGUUGAUUAUAACAAAGCCACAAAACUGUUUCAGAAAAUUCAUUCUCAUAAUAUGAUAUCAAACUAUGCAUAUAGGCCAUUGGCUCAAAAUGAAGCAGAUAAGUGUUUCUCUUCAUAUGAAUAGUGUGAACUCCUUUGAACAAAUUCUUAAUUGGAUAAUUUGGCAGUUACAUAAAGAAAAGACCAAAUGUGAACCUCAAAGCAUACCUGCUCUUGAGAUAAAAUAAGGAGGAAGCUCUCCAAGCGCUGUCCCCAAUCCCCAUAAAACAGCUUCUACCUGGACCUGUGGCAAUAUGCUACUAAGUGGAACCCGCAAUCCAUGAGAUGUUGGAAACACUGCAUCUCCGAAUUCAUGGCAAUCUUUGUCAAGCCAUGAAGGACCUCUUUUGAGCUGUAUUGUGUCAUACAUAGCACUUUUUAGAUCAACUCGGCCACACUGCAUUGCUUUUAUUGUGAACAGGGCAAUAUGAGGACCCAGAUAAAGGACAAAAGUGUGCAAACCAGACCCAAGACCAAUUGAAGAUGCAACACCAAGGGCAAUCCACCACAAUCCAAACCGCAAAUAAUGAGCAAGUUCCUCAAUGUGCUUUUCAUGAGAGCCAUCAAUGGUCACAAGCAGAAUUCCAAGCACAGCCACCAGUGUGCUUAAAAGCAUCAGCCAACCACCUUUUGCCAGUAGAUAAAUUACUGAUUUCUUAAAAUACUCUAUCAUAGCCAGAGUGAAAAACUUCAAUGUUUUGAAAGGUUGCGUUGUCAUCGUCAGAUUUUCUAGUUCUUGUUGAUGCCUCAGGCGAUGAUCGGCGAUUGAUGUAUCCAUAUUUUGAGAAGAAGAGGUUGCUCCUUUGCCAGAACCCAUUACCAUCACCUACUAUAAUUAAAAUCUCUACCGUUUUCCUCUUUAUCUAUAAAUCUUCCAAUACAAAACUAAAUGGGUAUAGAUUUCGAUUGGGCAAAAUCAGCAGAACGAAUUAAUGGGCAGGAUUUGCAGCGAACAUUUGUGUCUCAAAAUUGCUGGUUUGGGGCGAGAAUGGAGAUCCAAAUACAAAAGAAAAAGGACGCGAAAUUUCAGAGAACAAAGUUGAGGGGAAUUUGCGUUGAGAUCUCGCAGUGGAGCUUUAUGGUCCUCUCUCCGUGGGAUGAGAGGGAGACCUCUGCGCAGCGCGUAAGAUGUCCUUCUACCUUUUGUUCUUUCCU
RNAcentral lists this unclassified non-coding RNA (3213 nucleotides) under Hevea brasiliensis (rubber tree). The record is from RNAcentral. Lineage: Eukaryota; Viridiplantae; Streptophyta; Magnoliopsida; Malpighiales; Euphorbiaceae.